Long non-coding RNA from Orbicella faveolata, 1745 nucleotides. The record is from RefSeq and is a predicted model, not a curated record. Lineage: Eukaryota; Metazoa; Cnidaria; Anthozoa; Scleractinia; Merulinidae.
CCCUNAAGCAAGCAAGGUAAACAUGUACAGCGGUUUAUUAACACGUCUACCUUGCAUAAGCAACAUCCAGGCGUCGAAACCCCAUACUCCGCCCGGGCGUUAUAUUUUUCCACUUUCGUAUUAGGCCGCCAUCUUGGAUUUGGCAACUGUGGAGGAUUAGGGCGAGGAAAAAUUUGCCGAGGGAGUAGGCGUGAAGUGAUGGGCAAGCGGGGAUGGGGAGGGGAACGAAACUGUCUUUUCAAUUACCGGUCAAGCAUCCAAUUACAAUCCAAGAUGGCGGCAUCGAAAACCUGGUUUAUCAGAAUUUAUCGAGCGUCCCGUUCCAAAAUAACGCCUGCACUGCAAGCUAAUUCCCUGUCGAAGUCUUCUUAUUUCACCAUGGCGUAAGAUGAUGUACGCAAGAUGACCAUCGCUAACAGCUUGAGCUUGGGUCUUCUCCAGCAGUGCCGAUUUGUCACCGAUUGUCAUCAGGUUUCUCUUUGUCCUACGCUCGUAGCAAAUGAAUUUACAUCUUUCCUGCUUACGCUCUAAUAGUAUCGGUGAUGCCAUGGAAAUCGAGAAGUAAGGCAACACGACAAAGCAGACAGAGCGAGAAGAAUCGAAUUUCUUACGGUACGCUGCAAGCAGCAGUUAUACUCAAAAUAAACGAUGAUGUAAAAAGUUCUUACGCACAGCACGCGAAACACGUCACAACAGAAGCUGCUCCCAAAUCCAAACACAACUCAACACUAAGCACUUUGAACUGCGUUGAGAUUAGACGAUUAAAAGAUAGGCAUUGGGGAAAACCUGACGAACAAUGAAAGGUUUCUUGGACUGAUCCAGUCUUGUAAAUGGGGUGGAAAAAAGUUUCAACAACCCCAGAUACCUCAAGUACUUCCCGACGAGAUUUGCAUCAGAACAACGAAGGACAACAGCACGAUUCAUUGAGACUUUCCGAGAGGCGAUACAGGAAAAGACGAAACGCCAUGACACUUUGCAUGAUGGAGGACCUCUUACAGGCAGAGAACUUUCAAAGUCUUUUAAAUAUUUACACAACGAGAAGAGGAUCUAGAAAUUCCGUGGAAUAGAUGUUUUCACCGUUCCAAGCUUGAAAUAUCAAUUCUCUUGUUGGUUUGCUUAGGCAAUGAAUUGAUGUUGAACGGAGAAAUUUGACUUUGAUCACCGUUAGGAGUUAAUUAAACAGUGUUUGGAUUGUGUGGAUAGAAGAUAACAAUGGCCAAGAUUCACAUUGUAUGUACGGUGGUUGCGUGUAAAUCAGCAAUUGGGUACCCAGUGCAAGCAAUAUCAUACACAAUCAUUUCAUUCAAAAUCACUGACGGCCCGGACGUUGUGCCAGCUUAUAAACUGUCCAAUAAGCAAGCUUAGCUGAUAUCAGAAUUAGCAGUUGUAAACACUUUUGCAAUAUAAUUAUUUAUAGGUAAUCAGAAGUCGAUAAGACAUCUGAAGUUAUUUUACAGAAGCUUUAACAGUACCAGGUGAAAAGAGCUGGAAUCGAUCAACGACAAAACAAGAUUAUUUUAACUGUUUUAAACCUUUUUGAUCAUGUCUUGAAAUGAAUAUAUUUUCUUUUGUAGAUAGGUAAGCAUUUUCAUACUUUUUAUUCUCAGCUGCAUGUCAACUAUAAUUAAGCACGUUUAUGAAAUUACAGGUUCUGAAAGGGUGCGUGACUUCUGGCAAAUAACGUGUUCGUCGUAUAUGUCACUAAUCUGAUUCUGUAAUGUAGAAAUAAAAAUGCUUUUACUCUA